Molecule: ribosomal RNA, 510 nt
Filed under: uncultured bacterium
Lineage: Bacteria
Description: bacterial SSU rRNA
Rfam family: Bacterial small subunit ribosomal RNA
Source: RNAcentral
CUGGCGGCGUGCCUAAUACAUGCAAGUCGAACGGUCUUUCUAUGGAAGCUUGCUUCCACUGAGAAGAUAGUGGCGAACGGGUGAGUAACACGUGGGUAACCUGCCCAUAAGAGGGGGGAUAACAUCCGGAAACGGGUGCUAAUACCGCAUAGUUUUCCUGAUUGCAUGAUUGAGAAAGGAAAGACGGCCUUUGUGCUGUCGCUUAUGGAUGGACCCGCGGCGUAUUAGUUAGUUGGUGAGGUAACGGCUCACCAAGACGAUGAUACGUAGCCGACCUGAGAGGGUGAUCGGCCACAUUGGGACUGAGACACGGCCCAAACUCCUACGGGAGGCAGCAGUAGGGAAUCUUCCGCAAUGGACGAAAGUCUGACGGAGCAACGCCGCGUGAGUGAAGAAGGUUUUCGGAAUCGUAAAACUCUGUUGUCAGAGAAGAACAAGUUGGAGAGUAACUGCUCCAGCCUUGACGGUAUCUGACCAGAAAGCCACGGCUAACUACGUGCCAGCAGCAGC